RNAcentral lists this ribosomal RNA (791 nucleotides) under Jonesia denitrificans. RNAcentral describes it as "bacterial SSU rRNA". It matches the Rfam family "Bacterial small subunit ribosomal RNA", at positions 74 to 859 of the family's 1533-position model. Lineage: Bacteria; Bacillati; Actinomycetota; Actinomycetes; Micrococcales; Jonesiaceae. The record is from RNAcentral.
CGGAGCUUGCUUUGGUUGGAUUAGUGGCGAACGGGUGAGUAACACGUGAGUAACCUGCCCCCUUCUUCGGGAUAACCAUUGGAAACGGUGGCUAAUACCGGGUAUGACAUCGGAUCGCAUGGUUUGGUGUGGAAAGGUUUUUUCUGGUGGGGGAUGGGCUCGCGGCCUAUCAGCUUGUUGGUGGGGUGAUGGCCUACCAAGGCUUUGACGGGUAGCCGGCCUGAGAGGGCGACCGGCCACACUGGGACUGAGACACGGCCCAGACUCCUACGGGAGGCAGCAGUGGGGAAUAUUGCACAAUGGGGGAAACCCUGAUGCAGCGACGCCGCGUGGGGGAUGAAGGCCUUCGGGUUGUAAACCCCUUUCAGUAAGGAACAAGGCCAUGAUUGUUGUUGUGGUUGAGGGUACUUGCAGAAGAAGCGCCGGCUAACUACGUGCCAGCAGCCGCGGUAAUACGUAGGGCGCAAGCGUUGUCCGGAAUUAUUGGGCGUAAAGAGCUCGUAGGCGGUUUGUCGCGUCUGUCGUGAAAUCCCGAUGCUUAACGUCGGGCUUGCGGUGGGUACGGGCAGGCUGGAGUGCGGUAGGGGUGACUGGAAUUCCUGGUGUAGCGGUGGAAUGCGCAGAUAUCAGGAGGAACACCGAUGGCGAAGGCAGGUCACUGGGCCGUUACUGACGCUGAGGAGCGAAAGCAUGGGGAGCGAACAGGAUUAGAUACCCUGGUAGUCCAUGCCGUAAACGUUGGGCACUAGGUGUGGGGAUUGUUCCACGAUUCCUGUACCGUAGCUAACGCA